GACGAACGCUGGCGGCGUGCUUAACACAUGCAAGUCGAACGGAAAGGCCCUUCGGGGUACUCGAGUGGCGAACGGGUGAGUAACACGUGGGUGAUCUGCCCUGCACUUUGGGAUAAGCCUGGGAAACUGGGUCUAAUACCGAAUAGGACCACGCGCUUCAUGGUGUGUGGUGGAAAGCUUUUGCGGUGUGGGAUGGGCCCGCGGCCUAUCAGCUUGUUGGUGGGGUAAUGGCCUACCAAGGCGACGACGGGUAGCCGGCCUGAGAGGGUGACCGGCCACACUGGGACUGAGAUACGGCCCAGACUCCUACGGGAGGCAGCAGUGGGGAAUAUUGCACAAUGGGCGCAAGCCUGAUGCGGCGACGCCGCGUGAGGGAUGACGGCCUUCGGGUUGUAAACCUCUUUCACCAGGGACGAAGCGUAAGUGACGGUACCUGGAGAAGAAGCACCGGCCAACUACGU
Molecule: ribosomal RNA, 461 nt
Filed under: uncultured bacterium
Lineage: Bacteria
Description: partial 16S ribosomal RNA
Rfam family: Bacterial small subunit ribosomal RNA
Source: RNAcentral